AGUGAACGCUGGCGGUAGGCCUAACACAUGCAAGUCGAACGGCAGCACAGUAAGAGCUUGCUCUUACGGGUGGCGAGUGGCGGACGAGUGAGGAAUACAUCGGAAUCUACUUUUUCGUGGGGGAUAACGUAGGGAAACUUACGCUAAUACCGCAUACGACCUACGGGUGAAAGCAGGGGAUCUUCGGACCUUUCGCGAUUGAAUGAGCCGGUGUCGGAUUAGCUAGUUGGCGGGGUAAAGGCCCACCAAGGCGACGAUCCGUAGCUGGUCUGAGAGGAUGAUCAGCCACAGUGGAACUGAGACACGGUCAAGACUCAGACGGGAGGCAGCAGUGGGGAAUAUUGGACAAUGGGAGCAAGCCUGAUCCAGCCAUACCGCGUGGGUGAAGAAGGCCUUCGGGUUGUAAAGCCCUUUUGUUGGGAAAGAAAAGCAGCAGGUUAAUACCCCGCUGUUCUGACGGUACCCAAAGAAUAAGCACCGGCUAACUUCGUG
RNAcentral lists this ribosomal RNA (492 nucleotides) under uncultured bacterium. RNAcentral's name for it is "partial 16S ribosomal RNA". It matches the Rfam family "Bacterial small subunit ribosomal RNA", at positions 29 to 507 of the family's 1533-position model. The record is from RNAcentral.